AAAUUGAAGAGUUUGAUCAUGGCUCAGAUUGAACGCUGGCGGCAGGCCUAACACAUGCAAGUCGAGCGGUAGCACAGAGAGCUUGCUCUCGGGUGACGAGCGGCGGACGGGUGAGUAAUGUCUGGGAAACUGCCUGAUGGAGGGGGGAUAACUACUGGAAACGGUAGCUAAUACCGCAUAACGUCGCAAGACCAAAGUGGGGGACCUUCGGGCCUCAUGCCAUCAGAUGUGCCCAGAUGGGAUUAGCUAGUAGGUGGGGUAACGGCUCACCUAGGCGACGAUCCCUAGCUGGUCUGAGAGGAUGACCAGCCACACUGGAACUGAGACACGGUCCAGACUCCUACGGGAGGCAGCAGUGGGGAAUAUUGCACAAUGGGCGCAAGCCUGAUGCAGCCAUGCCGCGUGUGUGAAGAAGGCCUUCGGGUUGUAAAGCACUUUCAGCGGGGAGGAAGGCGUUAAGGUUAAUAACCUUGGCGAUUGACGUUACCCGCAGAAGAAGCACCGGCUAACUCCGUGCCAGCAGCCGCGGUAAUACGGAGGGUGCAAGCGUUAAUCGGAAUUACUGGGCGUAAAGCGCACGCAGGCGGUCUGUCAAGUCGGAUGUGAAAUCCCCGGGCUCAACCUGGGAACUGCAUUCGAAACUGGCAGGCUAGAGUCUUGUAGAGGGGGGUAGAAUUCCAGGUGUAGCGGUGAAAUGCGUAGAGAUCUGGAGGAAUACCGGUGGCGAAGGCGGCCCCCUGGACAAAGACUGACGCUCAGGUGCGAAAGCGUGGGGAGCAAACAGGAUUAGAUACCCUGGUAGUCCACGCCGUAAACGAUGUCGAUUUGGAGGUUGUGCCCUUGAGGCGUGGCUUCCGGAGCUAACGCGUUAAAUCGACCGCCUGGGGAGUACGGCCGCAAGGUUAAAACUCAAAUGAAUUGACGGGGGCCCGCACAAGCGGUGGAGCAUGUGGUUUAAUUCGAUGCAACGCGAAGAACCUUACCUGGUCUUGACAUCCACAGAACUUUCCAGAGAUGGAUUGGUGCCUUCGGGAACUGUGAGACAGGUGCUGCAUGGCUGUCGUCAGCUCGUGUUGUGAAAUGUUGGGUUAAGUCCCGCAACGAGCGCAACCCUUAUCCUUUGUUGCCAGCGGUCCGGCCGGGAACUCAAAGGAGACUGCCAGUGAUAAACUGGAGGAAGGUGGGGAUGACGUCAAGUCAUCAUGGCCCUUACGACCAGGGCUACACACGUGCUACAAUGGCAUAUACAAAGAGAAGCGACCUCGCGAGAGCAAGCGGACCUCAUAAAGUAUGUCGUAGUCCGGAUUGGGAGUCUGCAACUCGACUCCAUGAAGUCGGAAUCGCUAGUAAUCGUAGAUCAGAAUGCUACGGUGAAUACGUUCCCGGGCCUUGUACACACCGCCCGUCACACCAUGGGAGUGGGUUGCAAAAGAAGUAGGUAGCUUAACCUUCGGGAGGGCGCUUACCACUUUGUGAUUCAUGACUGGGGUGAAGUCGUAACAAGGUAACCGUAGGGGAACCUGCGGUUGGAUCACCUCCUUACCUUAAAGAA
This 1552-nucleotide ribosomal RNA is filed under the name Klebsiella pneumoniae. Its description in RNAcentral is "bacterial SSU rRNA". It matches the Rfam family "Bacterial small subunit ribosomal RNA". Lineage: Bacteria; Pseudomonadati; Pseudomonadota; Gammaproteobacteria; Enterobacterales; Enterobacteriaceae. The record is from RNAcentral.